GACGAACGCUGGCGGCGUGCUUAACACAUGCAAGUCGAACGGAAAGGCCCUGCUUUUGUGGGGUGCUCGAGUGGCGAACGGGUGAGUAACACGUGAGUAACCUGCCCUUGACUUUGGGAUAACUUCAGGAAACUGGGGCUAAUACCGGAUAGGAGCUCCUGCUGCAUGGUGGGGGUUGGAAAGUUUCGGCGGUUGGGGAUGGACUCGCGGCUUAUCAGCUUGUUGGUGGGGUAGUGGCUUACCAAGGCUUUGACGGGUAGCCGGCCUGAGAGGGUGACCGGCCACAUUGGGACUGAGAUACGGCCCAGACUCCUACGGGAGGCAGCAGUGGGGAAUAUUGCACAGUGGGAGGAAGCCUGAUGCAGCAACGCCGCGUGCGGGAUGACGGCCUUCGGGUUGUAAACCGCUUUCGCCUGUGACGAAGCGUGAGUGACGGUAAUGGGUAAAGAAGCACCGGCUAACUACGUG
RNAcentral lists this ribosomal RNA (468 nucleotides) under uncultured bacterium. Its description in RNAcentral is "partial 16S ribosomal RNA". It matches the Rfam family "Bacterial small subunit ribosomal RNA", at positions 28 to 507 of the family's 1533-position model. The record is from RNAcentral.